UUUUUAAUGUAAACCAGGAAUUUCUUGGGCCUUAUGCUGAGCCAUGGUGCUGCUGGAGAGCAAGCACUUCCUGAUGAAGCUGACCAGAUUCUUCUAGAAGUGCUGUUUGUCAUGCAGCGUGCUGAUCACCCUAAAGAAGUAUGAUGGUCAGACUAAACCCAUUCCAAGGAAAGUUCUGCGGAGGGCUGCGAGCCCUCAGACAGCAAGUGUCUGUUAAGAGCUACUGAUGGCAAAGGUUAGCACUGUGGUGAGCUCCCGAAGAAGUGAACAAGUUUCAGAUGGCUUACUCAAACCUACCGAGAGCUAUCAUGGAUGGGCGGAAGGAGGACAAAAGAACAAGAGCACACGUCUGUACUCCAGUCACCCCA
This is a long non-coding RNA of Leopardus geoffroyi (Geoffroy's cat), 368 nucleotides long. RefSeq lists it as uncharacterized. The transcript has 4 exons. The record is from RefSeq and is a predicted model, not a curated record. Lineage: Eukaryota; Metazoa; Chordata; Mammalia; Carnivora; Felidae.